Molecule: ribosomal RNA, 868 nt
Filed under: 'Albizia lebbek' phytoplasma
Lineage: Bacteria; Bacillati; Mycoplasmatota; Mollicutes; Acholeplasmatales; Acholeplasmataceae
Description: bacterial SSU rRNA
Rfam family: Bacterial small subunit ribosomal RNA
Source: RNAcentral
CCAUCAGGGAGAACUCUGACCGAGCAACGCCGCGUGAACGACGAAGUACUUUGGUAUGUAAAGUUCUUUUAUCAAGGAAGAAAAGCAAGUGGUGAACCAUUUGUUUGCCGGUACUUGAUGAAUAAGCCCCGGCUAAUUAUGUGCCAGCAGCCGCGGUAAGACAUAAGGGGCAAGUGUUAUCCGGAAUUAUUGGGCGUAAAGGGUGCGUAGGCGGUCUAGUAAGUCAGUGGUGUAAUGGCAACGCUCAACGUUGUCCGGCUAUUGAAACUGCUAAACUUGAGUUAGAUAGAGGCGAGUGGAAUUCCAUGUGUAGCGGUAAAAUGCGUAAAUAUAUGGAGGAACACCAGAGGCGUAGGCGGCUCGCUGGGUCUUAACUGACGCUGAGGCACGAAAGCGUGGGGAGCAAACAGGAUUAGAUACCCUGGUAGUCCACGCCGUAAACGAUGAGUACUAAGUGUCGGGUUAAACCGGUACUGAAGUUAACACAUUAAGUACUCCGCCUGAGUAGUACGUACGCAAGUAUGAAACUUAAAGGAAUUGACGGGACUCCGCACAAGCGGUGGAUCAUGUUGUUUAAUUCGAAGAUACCCGAAAAACCUUACCAGGUCUUGACAUGUUUUUGCGAAACGGUAGUAAUAUCGUGGAGGUUAUCAGAAACACAGGUGGUGCAUGGUUGUCGUCAGCUCGUGUCGUGAGAUGUUAGGUUAAGUCCUAAAACGAGCGAAACCCUUAUCGUUAGUUGCCAGCACGUUAUGGUGGGGACUUUAACGAGACUGCCAGUGAUAAACUUGGAGGAAGGUGAGGAUCACGUCAAAUCAGCAUGCCCCUUAUGACAUGUGCUACGUACUUGAUACGAUGUCUGUUAAAA